UGCACCUGACUUGGCCACUUGAUGACACGUGAUCAUGAGCGUGCAACGUGUGCUUUCACGGUGGAGAUGAGCGACAUUGAAGACGCCAUUUUGUCAGAACUUCACAGGACAUUCAGGAAAGGUUACCACAGCUACACGUCUAUUCGGGAAUAAGGUCGAUGAACAACUGGUCAUGGAACGAACAGGCCACAGAAGCUCGGCAGCAAGGCUGUGCAAGAGAACUUCUAACGGUCUUCAGAAGGAGAUAUCGGACAUGCUGCAACCACCAGCACCGGACACGAGGCCACGGGUACAUCUUCCCCACCAUCAAAGAAGAUCGCAAUCGAGACAGCACAUAAUCAAGAUGCCGCUAACGCCGGAAACGUCAUUAAUAUCAGUUUGUAACAGGUCCAGAAUAAAUGGCUAAAAUGA
Molecule: long non-coding RNA, 411 nt
Organism: Haliotis rubra (blacklip abalone)
Lineage: Eukaryota; Metazoa; Mollusca; Gastropoda; Lepetellida; Haliotidae
Exons: 2
Source: RefSeq, a predicted model, not a curated record